Molecule: ribosomal RNA, 402 nt
Filed under: Demospongiae sp. GW26955
Lineage: Eukaryota; Metazoa; Porifera; Demospongiae
Description: partial 28S large subunit ribosomal RNA
Source: RNAcentral
GCUCAGGGUGGCGAGGUUGUCGUGCUCCGUCGGGGUUCAGCUGGCGGCAGUUGGGUUGCUGACUGCUGCCGGUGCUCUCUUCGGUGGAGUUUGACCGUCAGUUGGGAAGAGAUUUGGGUCCUGUUUUAUCGGUGGUCGGGAGGUAAGCCUUGCGGUUCCUUCGGGUUCCCAGGGUGACNUACAGCCGUUCCGCCGUGGUCCCGAUCGUCUUUCAGGUGCGUUGGAUGUCUUUUCGUCCGGAAUGGGAAGGUGCAGGCUCCCCUCGUGGGAGUUCGGGCCGGCGCUGGAGUUGCUUCNCCGUGCUGAACCGUGUUCCGUACCCUUUCCGUUUUCGCUUCGGCUGGCGGGAAGGAGUGCGGCACGGCCGGCACGUGUUGUCGCCUCGCAGUGUCGCGUUCAAGU